GCUGGUGUAGCUCAGUCGGUAGAGCUACUGCCUUGUAAGCAGUAGGUCGGCGGUUCAAGUCCGUUCACCAGCUCCA
This 76-nucleotide transfer RNA is filed under the name Campylobacter portucalensis. RNAcentral describes it as "Campylobacter sp. FMV-PI01 tRNA-Thr". It matches the Rfam family "tRNA". From Rfam's summary of the family: Transfer RNA (tRNA) molecules are approximately 80 nucleotides in length. Their secondary structure includes four short double-helical elements and three loops (D, anti-codon, and T loops). Further hydrogen bonds mediate the characteristic L-shaped molecular structure. tRNAs have two regions of fundamental functional importance: the anti-codon, which is responsible for specific mRNA codon recognition, and the 3' end, to which the tRNAs corresponding amino acid is attached (by aminoacyl-tRNA synthetases). tRNAs cope with the degeneracy of the genetic code in two manners: having more than one tRNA (with a specific anti-codon) for a particular amino acid; and 'wobble' base-pairing, i.e. permitting non-standard base-pairing at the 3rd anti-codon position. Lineage: Bacteria; Pseudomonadati; Campylobacterota; Epsilonproteobacteria; Campylobacterales; Campylobacteraceae. The record is from RNAcentral.